GACGAACGCUGGCGGCGUGCUUAACACAUGCAAGUCGAACGGAAAGGCCCAGCUUGCUGGGUGCUCGAGUGGCGAACGGGUGAGUAACACGUGGGUGAUCUGCCCCUAACUUCGGGAUAAGCUUGGGAAACUGGGUCUAAUACCGGAUAGGACAAUCGUUUAGUGUCGGUUGUGGAAAGUUUUUUCGGUUAGGGAUGAGCCCGCGGCCUAUCAGCUUGUUGGUGGGGUAAUGGCCUACCAAGGCGUCGACGGGUAGCCGGCCUGAGAGGGUGGACGGCCACAUUGGAACUAGGGAACGGCCAGGACUCCACCGGGGGGAAGCGGUGGGAAAAUUUGCACAAUGGGCGCAGGCUGGAUGCAGGGCCGCCGGGUGGGGAUGACGGCCUUCGGGUUGUAAACCUCUUUCGACAGGGACGAAGCUUUGGUGACGGUACCUGUAGAAGAAGCACCGGCUAACUACGUG
Molecule: ribosomal RNA, 463 nt
Filed under: uncultured bacterium
Lineage: Bacteria
Description: partial 16S ribosomal RNA
Rfam family: Bacterial small subunit ribosomal RNA
Source: RNAcentral